AUACGAAGGGGGCUAGCGUUGUUCGGAAUCACUGGGCGUAAAGCGCGCGUAGGUGGACUAAUUAGUUGAGGGUGAAAUCCCGGGGCUCAACCUCGGAACUGCCUUCAAUACUGUUAGUCUUGAGACCGAGAGAGGUGAGUGGAAUUCCUAGUGUAGAGGUGAAAUUCGUAGAUAUUAGGAGGAACACCAGUGGCGAAGGCGGCUCACUGGCUCGGUACUGACGCUGAGGUGCGAAAGCGUGGGGAGCAAACAGGAGUAGAUACCCUAGUAGUCC
This 274-nucleotide ribosomal RNA is filed under the name uncultured bacterium. RNAcentral's name for it is "partial 16S ribosomal RNA". It matches the Rfam family "Bacterial small subunit ribosomal RNA", at positions 523 to 796 of the family's 1533-position model. The record is from RNAcentral.